Podarcis lilfordi (Lilford's wall lizard) is the source of this 206-nucleotide non-coding RNA. Lineage: Eukaryota; Metazoa; Chordata; Lepidosauria; Squamata; Lacertidae. The record is from the annotation of a GenBank genome assembly.
CUCCUCCAUGGUUUCCAGCGGGAGAAGAGCUGCUGAAUGGGGAGGAGAGAGGGACAGAGUGCCUGCUUCUUUAAAGGAGCAAAGCGGGAGGGGAGAGGAGUGUAAGCAGCUCCUGUCCAGUUGGCUCCUUUAAAGCAAACAGGCUCUCUGUAUCUCUCUCGUCCCCACUCAGCAGCUCUUCUCCUGCUUUGCUGGAAAUAGCAGGA